Molecule: small nuclear RNA, 103 nt
Organism: Rhinolophus ferrumequinum (greater horseshoe bat)
Lineage: Eukaryota; Metazoa; Chordata; Mammalia; Chiroptera; Rhinolophidae
Source: Ensembl
GUGCUUACUUCAGCAGCACCUAUACUAAAAUUGACAUGAUACAGAGUUAGCAUGGCCCCUGCCCAAAGGUGAUACACAAAUUCUUGAAGUGUUUCAUAUUUUU